GAACUGCGAUAAGUAAUAUGAAUUGCAGAAUUCAGUGAAUCAUCGAGUCUUUGAACGCACAUUGCGCCCCCUGGCAUUCCGGGGGGCAUGCCUGUCCGAGCGUCAUUGCUGCCCUUCAAGCCCGGCUUGUGUGUUGGGUCGUCGUCCCCUCCGGGGGACGGGCCCGAAAGGCAGCGGCGGCACCGCGUCCGGUCCUCGAGCGUAUGGGGCUUUGUCACCCGCUCGAUAAGGACCGGCCGGGCGCCAGCCGGCGUCUCCAACCUUUUUUUCUCAGGUUGACCUCGGAUCAGGUAGGGAUACCCGCUGAACUUAAGC
RNAcentral lists this unclassified non-coding RNA (315 nucleotides) under plant metagenome. RNAcentral describes it as "partial contains 5.8S ribosomal RNA, internal transcribed spacer 2, and large subunit ribosomal RNA". The stretch from base 1 to 105 matches the Rfam family "5.8S ribosomal RNA", at positions 50 to 154 of the family's 154-position model. The record is from RNAcentral.